RNAcentral lists this ribosomal RNA (339 nucleotides) under Salmonella enterica subsp. houtenae. RNAcentral describes it as "partial 23S ribosomal RNA". It matches the Rfam family "Bacterial large subunit ribosomal RNA", at positions 1 to 367 of the family's 2925-position model. Lineage: Bacteria; Pseudomonadati; Pseudomonadota; Gammaproteobacteria; Enterobacterales; Enterobacteriaceae. The record is from RNAcentral.
GGGUUGUGAGGUUAAGCGACCAAGCGUACACGGUGGAUGCCCUGGCAGUCAGAGGCGAUGAAGGACGUGCUAAUCUGCGAAAAGCGCCGGUAAGGUGAUAUGAACCGUUAUAGCCGGCGAUGUCCGAAUGGGGAAACCCAGUGUGAUUCGUCACACUAUCAUUAACUGAAUCCAUAGGUUAAUGAGGCGAACCGGGGGAACUGAAACAUCUAAGUACCCCGAGGAAAAGAAAUCAACCGAGAUUCCCCCAGUAGCGGCGAGCGAACGGGGAGGAGCCCAGAGCCUGAAUCAGCAUGUGUGUUAGUGGAAGCGUCUGGAAAGGCGCGCGAUACAGGGUGA